UACGGGGGGGGUAAGCGUUGUUCGGAAUUACUGGGCGUAAAGGGCUCGUAGGCGGCCAACUAAGUCAGACGUGAAAUCCCUCAGCUUAACUGGGGAACUGCGUCUGAUACUGGCGAGCUUGAGUGCAGGAGAGGAACGCGGAAUUCCAGGUGUAGCGGUGAAAUGCGUAGAUAUCUGGAGGAACACCGGUGGCGAAGGCGGCGUUCUGGACUGCAACUGACACUGAGAAACGAAAGCCAGGGUAGCAAACGGG
Molecule: ribosomal RNA, 253 nt
Filed under: uncultured bacterium
Lineage: Bacteria
Description: partial 16S ribosomal RNA
Rfam family: Bacterial small subunit ribosomal RNA
Source: RNAcentral